AUUGCUUCUUGGCCUUUUGGCUAAGAUCAAGUGUAGUGUGUGUGAAGUGGUAUUUAUUAAUAGAUCCUUAUAUGGGACACUACUUUGGUAUUCCAGGGCUAAAGGUAGAUCAGAAUUAAAAAAAACCCACAGGUUUUUUUUACACAACCAUAACAGAGGCCAAAAUUUC
This 169-nucleotide small nuclear RNA is filed under the name Ophiophagus hannah (king cobra). RNAcentral's name for it is "U2 spliceosomal RNA". It matches the Rfam family "U2 spliceosomal RNA". From Rfam's summary of the family: U2 is a small nuclear RNA (snRNA) component of the spliceosome (involved in pre-mRNA splicing). Complementary binding between U2 snRNA (in an area lying towards the 5' end but 3' to hairpin I) and the branchpoint sequence (BPS) of the intron results the bulging out of an unpaired adenosine, on the BPS, which initiates a nucleophilic attack at the intronic 5' splice site, thus starting the first of two transesterification reactions that mediate splicing. Lineage: Eukaryota; Metazoa; Chordata; Lepidosauria; Squamata; Elapidae. The record is from Rfam by way of RNAcentral.